Molecule: ribosomal RNA, 497 nt
Filed under: uncultured bacterium
Lineage: Bacteria
Description: partial 16S ribosomal RNA
Rfam family: Bacterial small subunit ribosomal RNA
Source: RNAcentral
GAUGAACGCUGGCGGCGUGCCUAAUACAUGCAAGUCGAGCGAACGGACGAUAAUCUUUCUUCUCUGAUGUUAGCGGCUGACGUGUGAUUAACACGUUUAUAACCUACCUAUAAUUCUUGUAUAACUUCGUGAAACCUGAUCUAAUACCGGAUAAUAUUUUGAACCUCAUUGUUCAAAAGUUAAAGACGGUCUUUCUUUCUCUUAUAGAUUUUUCCUCGCUGCAUUUGCUAGUUGGUAAGGUAACGGCUUACCAAGGCAACGAUGCAUAUCCGACCUGAGAGGGUGAUCGGCAACACGGGAACUGAGACACGGUCCAGACGAAUACGGGAGGCAGCAGUAGGGAAUAUUCCGCAAUGGGCGAAAGCAUGACGGAGCAACGCCGCGUGAGGGAUGAAGGUCUUCGGAUCGUAAAACUCUGUUAUUAGGGAAGAACAUAUGUGUAAGUAACUGUGAACAGAUUGACGGUAACUAAUCAGAAAGCAACGGCUAACUACGUG